This 263-nucleotide ribosomal RNA is filed under the name uncultured bacterium. RNAcentral describes it as "partial 16S ribosomal RNA". It matches the Rfam family "Bacterial small subunit ribosomal RNA", at positions 793 to 1055 of the family's 1533-position model. The record is from RNAcentral.
GUCCACGCCGUAAACGAUGAAUUCCAGUCGUCGGGUAGCAUGCUAUUCGGUGACACACCUAACGGAUUAAGCAUUCCGCCUGGGGAGUACGGUCGCAAGAUUAAAACUCAAAGGAAUUGACGGGGCCCGCACAAGCGGUGGAGCAUGUGGUUUAAUUCGAAGCAACGCGCAGAACCUUACCAACCCUUGACAUGGAUAUCGCGGCUCUGGAGACAGAGCUUUCAGUUCGGCUGGAUAUCACACAGGUGCUGCAUGGCUGUCGU